GCUGUGGGGGUUCAAUGGUAGACUUUUUGCCUUCCAUGUAGAAGACCCGGGUUCGAUUUCCAGCCAAUGCA
This 71-nucleotide transfer RNA is filed under the name Loxodonta africana (African savanna elephant). It matches the Rfam family "tRNA". From Rfam's summary of the family: Transfer RNA (tRNA) molecules are approximately 80 nucleotides in length. Their secondary structure includes four short double-helical elements and three loops (D, anti-codon, and T loops). Further hydrogen bonds mediate the characteristic L-shaped molecular structure. tRNAs have two regions of fundamental functional importance: the anti-codon, which is responsible for specific mRNA codon recognition, and the 3' end, to which the tRNAs corresponding amino acid is attached (by aminoacyl-tRNA synthetases). tRNAs cope with the degeneracy of the genetic code in two manners: having more than one tRNA (with a specific anti-codon) for a particular amino acid; and 'wobble' base-pairing, i.e. permitting non-standard base-pairing at the 3rd anti-codon position. The record is from Rfam by way of RNAcentral. Lineage: Eukaryota; Metazoa; Chordata; Mammalia; Proboscidea; Elephantidae.